CGUACGGGGACAACAUUCCGAAAGGGAUGCUAAUACCGGAUGUGACGCUCCUAUCGCAUGACGGGAGCGUGAAAGAUGGCCUCUACAUGUAAGCUAUCGCUAAAGGAUGGGCCUGCGUCUGAUUAGCUAGUUGGUAGUGUAACGGACAACCAAGGCGAUGAUCAGUAGCCGGUCUGAGAGGAUGAACGGCCACAUUGGGACUGAGACACGGCCCAG
This 216-nucleotide ribosomal RNA is filed under the name uncultured bacterium. RNAcentral describes it as "partial 16S ribosomal RNA". It matches the Rfam family "Bacterial small subunit ribosomal RNA", at positions 134 to 334 of the family's 1533-position model. The record is from RNAcentral.